GUAGCUUGGUGACAGUAGGGAGCAAGGACGAAGUGCAGCAUGGAGCAUGGAGCAAGCUAGGGUGGAGUUGGGCUAGAUCAAGUAUUCUAAGCAAGCAGGGCAAAGAGUGGAAUAAGUGUUCUAAGCAAGCUAAUAUAUGAGGGGCCAGUAAGAAGAACAAGAUCAUGAGGCAAACACUGAGCAAGGGUAGCAACAGGUAUAAAGAGUCAAAGACUAGAGCAAAAAAUUGUGAUAGUAUGUAGAAGAGAGUCGUACUGAUAACGUGUUGAGAAUGUUUAGAAAGACACAAGAGUAAUAGUAAGUCAUACACAUACUCAAGAGUAGUAGUAAGUCAUACACGCACUCAAGAAUAAUAGUAAGUCAUAUACACAAAAGGGUUUCUAAGGAAAGAGAGCUUCACAUCCAAAAAU
This 410-nucleotide long non-coding RNA is filed under the name Physcomitrium patens. RNAcentral's name for it is "long non-coding RNA (PPAT_LNC005552)". The record is from RNAcentral. Lineage: Eukaryota; Viridiplantae; Streptophyta; Bryopsida; Funariales; Funariaceae.